This is a long non-coding RNA of Passer domesticus (house sparrow), 328 nucleotides long. RefSeq lists it as uncharacterized. The transcript has 3 exons. NCBI's taxonomy places the organism in Eukaryota, Metazoa, Chordata, Aves, Passeriformes, Passeridae. The record is from RefSeq and is a predicted model, not a curated record.
UCUGUGGCUCACAGAACAGUGACAAGUGACAGCCAGCCACGUGGACACAACAUUACAGCCUACAGUGGAGCCAUUCCAGUAGUCACUGAAUGGAUGGAGGCUUCAGAAAUAUAUCCAUCACAUAAGAGCCUCAAAGACAAAUAACUUUUAAGAGCACUCAAUUUACACAGUCUUUCAUGUAAAUGCUGGACCUGCCACAUCUCCUGCUAAAACCUGCACUGUCUGAAGCUGGAACAGUGUAAGGCAGCUCAGUCAGCAGUCACAACUGCCAGGAGCAGAGAGGACUUGCCCUCAGAAAUACCAAAUAUACCUGUACAUCCUUGAAAAC